Long non-coding RNA from Oncorhynchus keta (chum salmon), 946 nucleotides. RefSeq lists it as uncharacterized. NCBI's taxonomy places the organism in Eukaryota, Metazoa, Chordata, Actinopteri, Salmoniformes, Salmonidae. The record is from RefSeq and is a predicted model, not a curated record. The transcript is spliced from 3 exons.
UUUCACUGUAAUGUCUACUACACCUGUUGUAUUCAGCAUUUCACUGUAAGGUCUACUACACCUGUUGUAUUCAGCAUUUCACUGUAAGGUCUACUACACCUGUUGUAUUCAGCAUUUCACUGUAAGGUCUACUACACCUGUUGUAUUCAGCAUUUCACUGUAAGGUCUACUACACCUGUUGUAAUUCAGCAUUUCACUGUAAGGUCUACUACACCUGUUGUAUUCAGCAUUUCACUGUAAGGUCUACUACACCUGUUGUAUUCAGCAUUUCACUGUAAGGUCUACUACACCUGUUGUAUUCAGCAUUUCACUGUAAGGUCUACUACACCUGUUGUAUUCAGCAUUUCACUGUAAGGUCUACUACACCUGUUGUAAUUCAGCAUUUCACUGUAAGGUCUACUACACCUGUUGUAUUCAGCAUUUCACUGUAAUGUCUACUACACCUGUUGUAUUCAGCAUUUCACUGUAAGGUCUACUACACCUGUUGUAUUCAGCAUUUCACUGUGAGGUCUACUACACCUGUUGUAUUCAGCAUUUCACUGUAAGGUCUACUACACCUGUUGUAUUCAGCAUUUCACUGUAAGGUCUACUACACCUGUUGUAUUCAGCAUGUCACUGUAAGGUCUACUACACCUGUUGUAUUCAGCAUUUCACUGUGAGGUCUACUACACCUGUUGUAUUCAGCAUUUCACUGUAAGGUCUACUACACCUGUUGUAUUCAGCAUGUCACUGUAAGGUCUACUACACCUGUUGUAUUCAGCAUUUCACUGUAAGGUCUACUACACCUGUUGUAUUCAGCAUGUCACUGUAAGGUCUACUACACCUGUUGUAUUCAGCAUUUCACUGUAAGGUCUACUACACCUGUUGUAUUCAGCAUGUCACUGUAAGGUCUACUACACCUGUUGUAUUCAGCAUGUCACUGUAAGGUCUACUACACCUGUUGUAU